RNAcentral lists this long non-coding RNA (765 nucleotides) under Pan paniscus (pygmy chimpanzee). Its description in RNAcentral is "lncRNA (ENSPPAG00000044233.1)". The record is from RNAcentral. Lineage: Eukaryota; Metazoa; Chordata; Mammalia; Primates; Hominidae.
AGGAUUUUUGUUUCCCAUCAAGGUAUUUCUACAGAAAUUUAGCUCGUAAAAUUUUGUUAUUUUCAGGUGCUGAUAAUGUAUUGGAAUCUGAUGCCAGCAAGACAGGUUCCAUAACCCAGUGUGAUCAGAGGAUAUUUGGAUAUUGAAGGAACAGGAAAUAAAGCAGAGUCAUUACUGAGUCUGCUUACCUGAUGAAAAAUUUUACACCACUGCCACAAAAAUGAAGUUCAUAUCUACAUAUCCAAAACUUCUGUUACCACCAAGAGAAGAAUAUUCCUCUCCUAGCCCACUGUCCAAAGAAAGAUGCUACAGAAUAGAGCUGGAUUCAGUCUGCAGCUUAACCAAGCCCAGCCUAGGGCAGUUGCCUCUCAGAAUCCUCACAUGCCACUCCUAUUGCCUUCAGGCUGGCAUUCGACAUCACAUCCCAGACAAGCCCAGUGGGUAAGUACAACUCCAGUUAAUGAAAGAAGUGACUCACAUGCUGAAGGAAUUAGACUCUGCCUGUGUGCACUGCUGGUGACUGGAAGCAAAUGUAAGAGUAAAUCUUGUGGGUUAGAAAAUAGGGCUAGACUACAUGUGGGCUAUAGAGUAAGUUAUUUACAUGGGCCACUCACCCAUGACUGGAGCUUCGAUGUUCUAACAAGGGCAUAUAUUUUUUUGGCAAUAACUUCUUGAAACAUGCUCUGAAGAUUGCCAAUAGAUAAAAUACUUCCUGAAAUAUACUAAGAAAGUAGUCAGUGAGGUCAAGAGAAGUGGGAAUGUUAC